UCUAUAAGCCAUAUCACACUGAACACGCCCGAUCUUGUCUGAUCUUGGAAGCCAGGCAGGCUCGGGCCUGGUUAGUUAGUACUUGGAUGGGAGGAAUUUAGCUAUUUAUUGAA
Molecule: ribosomal RNA, 113 nt
Filed under: Microcebus murinus (gray mouse lemur)
Lineage: Eukaryota; Metazoa; Chordata; Mammalia; Primates; Cheirogaleidae
Source: RNAcentral